CAAAGUUUAGCUAAAGUAGUAUAGUGUUUCAUUUACGUUGAAAAUAAUUUAUCGUGCAAAUCGGUUAGCUCUGA
Molecule: transfer RNA, 74 nt
Filed under: Candidiopotamon okinawense
Lineage: Eukaryota; Metazoa; Arthropoda; Malacostraca; Decapoda; Potamidae
Description: tRNA-Val
Source: RNAcentral